GACUCGUUAGCUCAGUUGGUAGAGCAUUUGACUUUUAAUCAAAGGGUCGCGCGUUCGAGCCGCGCACGGGUCA
Molecule: transfer RNA, 73 nt
Filed under: Lactococcus sp.
Lineage: Bacteria; Bacillati; Bacillota; Bacilli; Lactobacillales; Streptococcaceae
Also listed under: 5 other names
Description: tRNA-Lys
Rfam family: tRNA
About the family: Transfer RNA (tRNA) molecules are approximately 80 nucleotides in length. Their secondary structure includes four short double-helical elements and three loops (D, anti-codon, and T loops).
Source: RNAcentral